Molecule: ribosomal RNA, 482 nt
Filed under: uncultured bacterium
Lineage: Bacteria
Description: partial 16S ribosomal RNA
Rfam family: Bacterial small subunit ribosomal RNA
Source: RNAcentral
GACGAACGCUGGCGGCGUGCUUAACACAUGCAAGUCGAACGAUGAAGCUAGAGCUUGCUCUGGUGGAUUAGUGGCGAACGGGUGAGUAACACGUGAGUAACCUGCCCCGAACUCUGGGAUAACUGCUGGAAACGGUAGCUAAUACUGGAUACGACCAACGAAGGCAUCUUCUGUUGGUGGAAAGAAUUUCGGUUCGGGAUGGACUCGCGGCCUAUCAGCUUGUUGGGGAGAUAACGGCUCACCAAGGCGACGACGGGUAGCCGGCCUGAGAGGGUGAUCGGGCACACUGGGACUGAGACACGGCCCAGACUCCUACGGGAGGCAGCAGUGGGUAAUAUUGCACAAUGGGCGCAAGCCUGAUGCAGCAACGCCGCGUGAGGGACGACGGCCUUCGGGUUGUAAACCCCUUUUGCACGGGACGAAGUAAUUGACGGUACCGUGCGAAUAAGAGGUUGCUAACUCUGUGCCAGCAGCCGCAGUAA